GGGUGGGUAGCUCAGUUGGUUAGAGCCUGGGAUUUGAGGUCCCAGUUGCGUAGGUUCAAAUCCUACCCCACCCA
Molecule: transfer RNA, 74 nt
Filed under: Candidatus Peregrinibacteria bacterium
Lineage: Bacteria; Candidatus Peregrinibacteriota
Description: tRNA-Ser
Rfam family: tRNA
About the family: Transfer RNA (tRNA) molecules are approximately 80 nucleotides in length. Their secondary structure includes four short double-helical elements and three loops (D, anti-codon, and T loops).
Source: RNAcentral